This is a non-coding RNA of Sturnus vulgaris (Common starling), 1723 nucleotides long. Lineage: Eukaryota; Metazoa; Chordata; Aves; Passeriformes; Sturnidae. The record is from RefSeq and is a predicted model, not a curated record.
AACCAAGGUGAUAAGUGCCUCUAAUUUGUUUCCCUACCUUCACACACAGGUACACAGAGUUGGGCUUGGACAUAGCAAUGCUGAUAUCCUGCCUUGCAGAGCUGUCUCCACUCCGUCUGAUCAAUUACUAAGAAGAAAAUAAAAUCUGCAGCACUUCUGUCUAUUCCUAGGGGAAUGCUGAAGUAUCUCAAAUAAAGUAAAACCAACUCCUUGCUGAAGCAGUGGAUGAAGAAGCUCCAAAACAGCUCUCCUGAAGCUCCUUUCAGUGGGUGGUUGCCCAGCUGUCUUUCCUGAUGCUCUCUGAAAUGCCCAACAAGCCAGGCAUGAAGGGCACCAGAGGAAUGAUCCUCAUCUCCUGGGAACCAGGGAGCUCUCUGCAGCAAGGCAAGGCUGUAGGGAGGCAUCCCUGCUCCCUCCUUGGCUCAGGGAAUACAGCCCUUUAUGGAUCCUCACUGAACGAGGCUGGGAUUUGAAAAGCAAAGCUGAACUUUCCGACCUGAAACCUCAAAUCCUUUUCUGAUGGUUUUUGUAACUGGAAAGCGGAAACAGAGCCUUCAGUAAUUCAAAAGAGAUUUAAUGAUCAAAGCUGCAAUUAAAAGCGUGGUGAGUCAUCUUACAGUCGUCCAUGUGCUAAAACAUCCAGGCUGUGCAAGAGAUCAUGUUGUCAUGGCUGGUUUUACUCAAAACAAGGAUAUAGGAGCUGCUAUUACUUCCAGCUUCAGAAACAAUCUGAGUUCUGCAGACCUGACCUGUGUUUAUAGAGCAGAAGAAAAAGCAACAGUCCUGACUCCCCCAUUUGUGUAUUUUAUUUAGUAGUUCUGUCUGAAACAUCUGAAUUCAUUAUGGUGCUUUAUUACUUUUCGCCUUCUUUCAGAGUGUCUGCUCUCAGUAGGAAUCUUGAUUUUUUUUUUCAUUUACACUAACAAAUUACCCACCAAAACAAAUAUAGAAGAGCUGAUCUUUAGAGUAUUAUGGGUGUUUUUUUGCUUUCUGCAGCAUGCACCAACAAUGAAAUAUUUAACUGAACUUUUCACAGUAUGUGCAUUUUCUCAAAUUAAAAUUGCAAAAGACAAGGAAAUGAAGAUAAAAAUACCCAACCACGUUGCUCCUCAGAAACCCUCACAAGUAAUCUAAUAUUUCUCUUUAAAUCCUGUUGUUUUAUUCUGCUCAAUACAAAAAAUAGUGCUAAAUAGAAUUUGGUUUUAGUAAAGGAGGAACUUCUUCCUAAAAGUGUUUAGCCUGUCACACACAAAAGCCACUAAAAGGAAGCAGAACUGGUAACUCUCUACUGGAGAAAUGUAAAAAAAAAUUGAUAAUUUGCUACCAGUCUUGCUUUCCCUGUUCCUCAGUUUCCUUCCUAGUGGUAGUGAGGUAUUUCAUGUUUUAUUUUCAAUUUCUCAUAAUGGUUGCAAUAUUCAAACUCUAACCCACGUAAUUCUAACCUAGAAUGUGAUUGCCUACUUUGCAAAAAUCACUGCUGUAGCUUUGCUCCUUCAGGUUUAUUUGUAAAACAAGAUUUUUUAUCUUGCCAUUUUUGACAUCAGGUGCCUCCAGUCAGUGACAGAUAGAUGAAAAUAAAUGCCAGCUUUUACGAGAAUCCCAAAAGGAACAUCUAAUGUAAAAUAUAAUGCAAUCAAAUAAAUUGGUGCUUUCUUCCCCAGCUUUAUCUGAAAAGAGACCUGCUCUUUAUGCUGAGACAAAAUAGGUUAUCAGAUCUAGCAAA